CAGAGUUGAAAAACUCCCAAACCCUUUGUGAACCUACCCAUCGUUGCUUCGGCAGGCGGCCCCAGGGCGGGGCUGUAGCCUUUCGAGGUGCCUGCCGGAGGUAUGAAACUAUAUCUAUUGUAUACUCUGAGUAAAUAUUAAAUAAGUCA
RNAcentral lists this unclassified non-coding RNA (149 nucleotides) under uncultured Sordariomycetes. RNAcentral's name for it is "sequence contains ITS1". Lineage: Eukaryota; Fungi; Ascomycota; Sordariomycetes. The record is from RNAcentral.